Oncorhynchus keta (chum salmon) is the source of this 883-nucleotide RNA transcript. It is a transcript of the gene named high mobility group protein B2-like, with no coding region annotated. NCBI's taxonomy places the organism in Eukaryota, Metazoa, Chordata, Actinopteri, Salmoniformes, Salmonidae. The transcript has a single exon. The record is from RefSeq and is a predicted model, not a curated record.
ACUUGUGUGGCUGGAUAAUAGAAUAUAGCAGCCAUGCCGGGUAAAGAUCCUAAUAAGCCGAAGGGAAAGACUUCUUCCUAUGCGUUCUUUGUUGCGACGUGCCAGAAAGAACACAAGAAAAAACACUCAGGAACUUCAAUGAACUUUUCCGAGUUCUCAAAGAAAUGCUCAGAGAGGUGGAGGACCAUGUCUGCAAAAGAGAAGGGGAAGUUUGAGGACAUGGCCAAGGGUGACAAAGUCCAUUAUGACAAGGACAUGAAGGGUUAUGUGCCCCCUAAGGGAUCUAAGGCAGCAGGAAAGAGAAAGAAGGACCCCAAUGCCCCCAAAAGGACACCUUCUGCAUUUUUUGUGUUCUGUGCUGAACACCGUGGAAGAAUCCCUGGCUGAUAACCCAGGCAUGGGCACUGGCGACAUCGCCAAGCAGCUGGGUCUGCUGUGAGGCAAGCAGACUCCCAAAGACAAGUAGCCACACAAAGCAAAGGCCGCAAAGCUGAAGGAAAAGUAUGAGAAGGAUGUUGCUGCCUACAAGGCUAAGGGAGGUGCAGGUGCAACUGCUAAGAGUGGCCCUGGCAGGCCAGCUGUUGGCAAGAAGGCAGCGCCCAUGGAUGAUGAUGACGAUGAUGAUGAUGAAGAGGAGGAGGAUGAUGAGGAAGAGGAGGAUGAUGAGGAUGAUGACUAAACUGCCUGGAAACUUUAGCUGGAGUAUUUGCAAAACAAUGUGAACCUUACAAUGUAACAUUUAUAGCAUUUUGGAUUUUUCAGAACAUGUACAGUGAUGUGCAAUGGCUGCAAUAAUGCAUACAGGGGUCAUAUUGUGCUGUCUUGUAAAUGAACAGCUCUUAUUCUCAAAGCACUGCUUGUUUUGUCUUUGGAUGGUGGCAUG